UGUGGGCUGCAGCCGCAGCCCGGCCCGUCCCCCGUGUACUCGCUGGACCCGGCGCGCUUCGGGGACCUUUGUCUGGCCGGCACCGCCGAGGUGGGAAUCGCGGGGUACUUCAUGGAUCACGCCGUGCGCCUGGAGGAUCUGCCCAUCAGGGUCGUUUGCUCCAGCACCUGCUACCGGGCAGAGACGGAGACGGGCCGGGAGCCGUGGGGGCUCUACCGCGUGCACCAGUUCAC
Molecule: long non-coding RNA, 233 nt
Filed under: Columba livia (rock pigeon)
Lineage: Eukaryota; Metazoa; Chordata; Aves; Columbiformes; Columbidae
Description: partial uncharacterized LOC102091899
Source: RNAcentral